UUUAAUAUAUGUAAGUUACAGAAUGGUAGAUAUUUGUGGUAUUAAUCAACAUAUCCUAUAUGUCUAGAAUAGUACCUGGCACAUAAUAGGCAUUCAGAAAUGUUUGUUUAGUGAAUGUUUAAUAAGUACUAAAAGAAAACAUUAGCAGUGAGUUAAUACAAUUCUCUUCAUAUAUAAUUAACAACUUGGUUUCAAAAUAUAAAUGAACACACAUUAUGUUUACAAGGUAUGUGUGCACACACACACAUGAAAUUUUAGCAAAAUAAAAAAAAAAACAAGGCAAACAAUUUGUGAGAAAUUGUGAACCUUGUAAUGAAAUCCUCACUACCAUCUGCCAGACUGUGUUACCUGUUUGAGCUAGACAAUGUGACUGCUAAAUUACAGGUACUGUGACUCAUACCAAUAACACUGUUGUGUAAUAUCAUGCUUGUGUUCUCAUCUUUGCUUAUUUAAUAAUGGCAUGAGGUGCAUAGAUAAAUCAGUCAUCUUGUUUAGCUGAGUCCCUGAUGCUAAAAGGACAAGGUGAUCUUCAAAUUCUGUUUUCAGUGUGAUCAUGUUGCUGUCUCCUCCACAUUCUUCAGUAGCAUCUGGGUACUGACUUUUCAAUGAUGUGUCUUAAGAUGGAUCUAUUGCUAUUCAUAGGACUGGGAACAUGGUCACAUGGAGAAAACUGAGGACCAGCGAAGUGGCCUGCAGAAGUAACAAACUCCUUAACAAGUGCUAUGGCACCAGCUCAUCAGAAUGGACACUGGCUUUAAUGACUUUUGCAUUUCUGAAACCAGAUGACUUCACUGGAUGACUCCACUGAGACCCAAGACUCAAGACCCGACCAGUCCUGUGGCCCUCACGUCUACACAGUAUGUGUGAGGUUCAAUCUGACUAUCCAUCCUUUAUGGAAAUGCUACAUUACACAUUAACUCAAAGGCUGAGAAUCCAUUAAGUCAAGGACAGCUGGAUUGAUAAAGGGGACUGAGCAUGCCUGUCUUAUCCAGGCACCCGGUAAACAAGCCAGGCUCCAGUGCGGGUCCCCUGUGUUCCAUGGCUAUACAUCUCAUGUUUAUAUGCUUUAAAAAAGACAAAUACGUCUAUCUAUACUGGCAAGAUGCAAAGGCCUGCCAGGGAUUUUUCUAUGAGGCCCUAAACCAUGGUCUCUGCCAACAACUCCUCCAUCUCCCCAUGGCUCUCAAGAAAUAGAACUGCUCCAUCCUGAAGAUCCCUUGGAGCCUGUUGAGUUUUGUGGAAAAGAAAAUCACAUAAAGUUUUCUCCGUGACACACCUAGCAAGGCAUUUUCAAGUCCAAUUUAUUUACACAGGCCUAGCAGUACCCUGGAGAAUGCAUAUUUUCAUAUUUUCUCCCACUGUAUUGAACCCAUGCUUUGUAGCAGAUGUCAUAGAGCUGAUAUCGCAGAUAGCCAAGCUUUGCUGUAGAAGCAUGUGAAAAGACAGACAUCCAAAGAAACAUUGCAAAUGUGUACUACAUUAUCAAACUCUCCAAAUUUAGGCUUAUUCCUAGAAUACAAAUAUUUCUCAACCCAGCAGGCAGCCAGGUGCCCGCAAAUCCUGAAAUUAUAAAAACUUUGGCCAAGUUGAUUUACUUCUGCGGUCUCUUGUUGAAAAAUGUGUUGAUUCACAUUAAUGGCUUGAUGAAGGGGGGACUGGAGGACUAGAGGUAUCAGGGUGAAUAGGACUUGAUGGGUUUUGCUCUGUAAUCAGAGUGUCACUCAAUCAGAGUGUGUGGCAAUUGAGUGAGUGGCACAAUUAGCAUCUUAUUAUGGUGUUUGCUUUCUUCUCUUUUUAUACGGCAUAAUUUGGUACUUUAUUAUACCAUUUCACAUUCGUUAGCACCUCAUGUAGCACUCAUUCAUUUGGAAGUCAUUUCUCAGAAAAAUUCUGAAAGAUAAAACUCCUGCUGAGAAAGAAGUACCUACAAAAAUCCCCUCAAGUCCUCACUCAUAGCUGCAUAUUCUAACUUUAUGCAAAAGCUACCAAGUUUGCUUUACCUGUCUGCAGCAGGUCAGAACUAGCAAAAUGAAAAAAUCUAGAAUGUGUUAUAUAAAGCUAGUGAAAAAAGGCAGAUUGAGAGUACCAAAAUAACAGCUGGAAGUGUGAGAAGAGAAAAAUAAGUAACAAAACUCAGGCUGAAGAACUUCAAAGGUAUAACAUUUUUCUCAGGUUGCAUUCUCAAGAAACAGAUUCUAAAGUACGGAUUUGACUAAUUUAUCAAAGAAGUGCUCCCUGGAGAAAUGAGCAAGGGAGUGGGGAGGCACAACAAGGAGGCUAAGAAACCAAGCAAAGUUGUGAUUUUUAGGUAAAAUUCCAGCCUAGGCUUACCCUGAUUGAAAUUGUGUAGAAUAUAUUGCAUCUCAGAGUUUGUCUUAAGGCAAGGAAUAUGGGCUGUUUUGUGUUCCUUUAUUAGUCAUUCAUUGGCUUGGGGCCAUGGGGAGGUUGGUGCAGGGGAAUAUACCCCAUGUUGCAGGAGUCUGGCAAAUAGAAACAAACAAACAAACAAACAAAAUAAAAGUUAACUAAAAACAAAAACAUAAAUUGAUUUGGCCAAUAAUACAUUUGGCUAUUAAUGACAAGGACCAUGAGUGGAUAGAGACCCAGUUAUCAAAAGCCUAAUACAUUUUCAGAUACUAAAUGAUAUGUUUUACUUAAAUUUCUGAUACAUCAAGUUGCAGGUACAUAAUUUUUUUCUAAUAGCUUAUGCAUACAUCAAAGUGAGUGAUUAUUCUUAAAACCGCCUAUGCAUUUAAAAUGUGUCAAUAUGUUGAUGUUAUAUUUUUCCAGAGAAAAGAAAUAUAGUAAAGACAUACUUAUAAAUGCUUUAGUUUAUGUAUUUUUUUAUUCUAAGAAGCUAUUCAGAGAAAUAAAAGUCUUCCUUUUCUAACAUAUUUGUUAGUAUUUUCAGAAAAAUCCAUAUUUAGAUUUCUGAAGGCAAUGCUGUAUCUCCAUACAGAAGGCUGAAUGACAAUUUAAAAACAAGCCCUAAUCCCUAGUGACUGUACAUCUGUGUCACAAAACAAUCGCAUAAUCUGGCAUGAUUAAAAGGUUUGCUGUUCAGAGCUCAACAGCUGAAAGCCAAAUAUGGCAAAGUAUGAUCUAGUUUUCUGCUUCAUAAAUGCAAAUAAAGACUGGCACAUAGAGUAUAGAAAGCAGUUGUUCUUAUACAAUUUAGGUCCAGCACACUUUUGGAUAAAGAAGAUGUCCAAUAGAAAACAAAUCCUUUGAAAACAAAGCUAGACACUCAAGUUUUCUGGCUUACACUAUUGAGCCAAAGUUUCUGCUUUUACAAGUAUGUGUUUAAAAUGAAAAUACAGGAUGACAUGUGUUUUGAUAAUCUGUAGAAGGACUUUAAACACCCUGAUCCUCUACAGCAAGUUCACAAUAAAAGUCUGUACAGAAUUAGGAAAACCAAUGACUUGUAUUUUAAAUAAUCAUUCAGUAAUAAUGUAGACAUUUUCCUGCUUGUAGAUACUAUGCAGAAAGUAUUGUUAUCUUUGUCUGUCUAGUACUGAGCCAUAAUCCCUGGUACACAGUAGGCACUCAAUAAAUAUUUUUGAUUGAAUGGAUGACUAUAGACUGAAUGGAUCAAGAAAUAGACAAACAUGAAUUAAUUUUCAAAAAAAAGUUGGGAAUCAUAGUGGUUUCUGAACUGAUGUCUGCAGAAUAUUCUAAAUUGUAGCCACAUUAAUGUAAAUAACCCACCAGACCAAGGAGGAAAUAUAUAUUAGCAUGUCAAUAUUUUUAAAAGAUACAAUUUAUAUUGCCAUAUUUGUGAGGCACCUGAUUAUAAAUCUUGCAUUCUCUUCCAGAGCUGUCUCCUUUGGGAAAAAUGAAAGAGGAAAUCACAUUAAGAAUAAAAUUGUCAUCACAAGAUUCAUUUUAUUAACCCAGUAUUUCCUUACUUGCUGCAAAUAUGCUGGCGAUUUUGGAUCAGACAAUCCAGGACAGUGUUAUUUGAAUUUAUUCUUUGGCAUAGUUCCUAGUGUUUUUGAUGUAACCCAGCAAUAUCUCCAACAGCAAAGCUGCAGAAUUCUGCUGUCCAUUUUUAUUGAAGUAUUGAAUGUAAUUGAGACUCGUCUGCUUAGACUCACCCAUGUAUACUAGGGCUUUGGUUUUGAUAAACAUUGUUUCUUCUGUUUUCUCUACUUCAGUGUUUUACUCUUUUAAUCUUCUUUUUCUUGAAUUUUAGCCUUCGAGUUUUUCUUCCGCAGAUUUUCAUUUCUGAAUAUUAAACCAUGCAAAUUCUCUAUGGCCUUUUACAGUAUGACUUUCUAUAUAUGCCUUAAUUCCAGGUGGCAGGACAGACCAUUUAACAAUGUGCUACCCAAACUCACUGUGGUGAUACGCAAACUCACUGUAGUUUGUGCAAAGUCCUACAGUUCAAAAUGCAUACCCAGGCACUACAGUGUUAGGCAAUAGUAAAAAACUAAAUGCCCCAAAAGAAGGCAUGUAAAGAUAGAAAGUGCCCACAUAAUCCUCAAAUUCAAAAACACCUUAUAAAUUAACUGUGUCCAAAGACUUUGGUUUUUAUGACUUAGGGAAGCCUAAUCUUUGCUCAUAUGAGCCCUUGUUCAAUUUGGAUUGUCUUUUAGAAAGACGAGUCUACUGAAGCAGGGCAAAAUGUCACUUUAUUUUAAAUUAAGAUUAGAAACAAUGACAUUUAAUUAUCAUAAUCAUGUGUUUUUCAGUAGAUAAUUAUAAAAGACACCACGGUUUAACAUUUAGCUUGUUUCCAAAAGAGGAAAAAGGGUGGGAAGUAUUUUUAUUUAACAAUGAGAGUAUUUAGAGGCAAAUGAUUUUAUCUGAAAUUUACUAUUGUUAACUGUUGUACUGUUUGCUGUAAAUUAAUCUGAAGUAAGUAUCCAUAGAAAAAUGUCUCUUUGAAAUAAGCAUUUCUAAAAUCCUUGAAUAUAUCUAGUUUGGCAAGUAUGUAAUUAUAUAACACACAUGUCAUAUUUACAAUUGAAAUGGGGCAAAAUUGUACAUAUAGAGAGACCUAAUAUGUGAGAAUGAGGAAAGGUAUUAACUUUUUAGUAGUAUCAGAUGCCACUUGAGCACUUUCUACAUGUGCAAGACACUGUGCUAAGUACUCUUGCAAACAUGCAGGUAAGCACUAUUUUUAUUUGCAUUUUAUAUACCAGAGAAUUGAUACAUGGAUAUGCUAAAUAAGGAGUGGAAUUAGGGAUUCAGACUGAGGAAUAGCUAAAUCUGAAGCCAAGUUCUUAGCCACUAAACUUGUACUCUACAGUAUGAUUACUAUUCAUACGUAGUUAUUGAGAAAUAGAAAUGUGUCUAGUUUAAAUUUAGAAAAACUAUAAAUAUAAAAUGCACAAUGUUUUUCAUUAGUAUUAGAAAAUAAAUACCUCAAUAAUUUUAUAUUGAUCACAUGUUGAGAUAUUUGGCCUACAACAGUUGAAAUAAAAUAUAUUAUUUAAAUUAAUUUUAUCUGUUUCUUUUUUCUUUUCAUUGUGGUUACUAGAAAUUUUAAAUCACAUAUGGGGUUCUCAUCUGUUGUUUCACUUUAUUUCUACUGGACCGUAUUUCACUACACUGUAUAGCCUCCAUCUCUGACAAGUUAGGGGAGAGACUCUGAAAUGUUAAUUCCCUGCUUAGUUUGUCUUUUCCUCUUAUUUAUUUCUUGUUUCUCUCUCAUGACAGACUUUAUUUUCUUCAUUUUAAUGUAACUAUUUAUAUAAAUAUUGUAUAUCUCUCACUAAAAUGUAAGUUCCUGGAAGUCAGGCCUCCGAGUUCUCAUCUUGUAACACCAAGUAACAAGGGAAGGCUUUUAAGGCAAAUAACAAUCUCAAGCGUUUUAGCCUAAGUUAAGCUUCUUCUUCUUCCUCACAAGCUGUCUUCUCAUUACACAGAAUGGAGUCAGGAAUGUCUCCAUCAGGACUGCUCAGGGGUGUGCAAACUGCAGCUUGUGGCCAAAUCCAACCUAGCACCUGCUUUUAUAAAUAAAGUUUUAUGGAAACACAGCCACAUCCACUCAUUUAGUACUGUCUAUAGGCUAGCUGGGAUACAAUAGCAGAGCUCCAUAGUUGCUACAAAGUCCUAUGGUCGUCAAAUCCGAAAUAUUCACCACCUGGCCCUUUAGGGAAAAUCUUUGCCAUUUCUCAGGUAGCUUAUGCUAUCAGAGUCGAUUCUUUCUUUUUGCGCCUUCCAUCUCAAGUAUCAAUUACACUAUAGUGACAUUAGAAUCUCAUGAAAUAACAAACAUUUUUCACAUUGUGUUUCAAGGAUGCUUACAUUUUAAUAACCACUUGUAGAAUAAAAACCCAGGAUCCCUUUGUGACUAUUUCUCUCAGUUAAAAUAGUGGGUCUGAGAAGAUGUUUUGAUAUGUCUGCUACCGUGACAACAUAAAUAGGGACCAUCUUUUAAAGUUUAUUGCCAUCUGAGGCCCCUUGAUUUCAGGAUUUCAAGACUUACAAUGGGCACAUCUAAAACAGCUACUAUAAUACUUUUAAUGUCAGAAAAGUCACUGUGAAAAUAAAGAAAUAAAAGAUGUCUACCUGCUGGUGAGUGAGCUCUUUAAAUGACUUUACUGGAGAAUAAAUGACUUUACUGGAGACUCUACUGGAGAAUAAAUGACUUUACUGGAGAGACUUUACUGGUGAGGAAAGUAAUAUAGAUAUAAUACCACUAUUCCUGUGACCUAUCAAUACAAGCUAUUUUACACUUUUUAACUAUGCCAAGUGGGUCAUUUAAGGAUAAUACAGACUGAGGGAAAUUCUCAUUUUGUUUGAAGGAAUUUGUUUGUCUUGAUACAAUCAAUUGACCUUAACUUUCCUAGAUGUGGAAAAUGAGGUAAAAUUUGUUACUCUUAAACAAGAUAUAUUGUUCAGCAAGACUAGAAUGAAAGGAUACCAAAACAUUUACUCUUUACUGAUGCUUCCACAACUAGCUAUUGUCAACAUUUCCAAUAUCAUCCUUACAGUGAAAACCACUAUGACAAGUACUGUGCAUGCAAUUAUGUAAAAUUGAAUCAUAAAACGAGUUAGUGGAAUAGGAGGAUUAUAUAAAUGUUCAAAUAUUUUUAUCAAAUUGUACAAUUAACUAGUUUGUUCUGACAAGUGUUCUUACAAAAAACAAAAUAUUAAUUGGCAUAUUUCAUAUAAACAUAUUUACAUUUCAUUUAUUAGGAGCCCCUUAUUUGUUCCAGUGAAUAAUUAGAAUACAUUUACAGCAAAUCAAUUGAAACAUUCAGUAACGUCUUUAAAAUAUCCGAAGGAAAUGUGGGAAAUACCUGUCUUGGUAUUCUGAGAUUGCAAGGAACUGUCUUAUAAAACAAUGCUUCUCAAAGAGGACUAAGUACACAAUGAUCCAUUGGUGACCAGAAAGAAAAACACUAAACCUUGAUUUAAAAAGCAAGUCAAUUAUUAAACCUUAGUAAUGUUGAAAGAUUGAUUGAUACUGACACCUUCAUUGAGUCCUAAAAGUCACUGAUCAAAAGAAGUCACCAUGAAGAAAAAAGGGAAUUGUACAAUGUGGAGGUUUUGACAGUGGCAUUCUCAUUCAUAUAUUGGUUUUAUCAUGUUGGAAUAUACAGGAGUUUAUAUUUUUUCCUAUUCAUAUUUUUUCCUACUCACAGAAGCUAGAAUGUAUUUCACAAAUGCUAAAAAUAGAACUCACACUAACUUGAGCAAAAUAGUAGACAUCAUUUGCUUACUAAUGAAGAAAUUUAAGCCUGAAACUGCCUUGACUCCAAAGUAUGCCAUAGAACUUUCACUCUGUUUCUACAUUUUCAGGUCUAGCUUGUCAGUUGCUCUUAUUCUCUCAUGCUAUAGAUAAGAGUUUCUUCACGUGAUCAGAAAGAUGACCACCAGCCAGCCUGCCUUUCACCUUACAGCUAACCAAUUCUAAAGAAAAAGAGACCAAAAAUUCCCCAUCUUUCAUGUGUCAAAUCUGAUUGAAAUACCCUUACUAAUCCUAGUUGGUCAUGGGUCAAUUCCUUAUAGCAAUCACUAUGGGUGGGUAGAGGGGUGGAACAAUGUGAUGGGCCAACUUAUGUAUCAAGUAACCAAAUCAGAACCACAGAGUAGGAGAAGAACCAUUCCUCAAAGAAAGUGGAGUUCCAGAAACAACAAACAACUGGUGCUGCCUAGAAAUCUUAGAAGAUAUGAAAAUAAAAUAUCCCAGUUGCAUUACAGCAUGCAUGUUAAGAAAUCAUAAUGUAAAACAAAUUAAUGGUUUGCAUAUGUUUCCAAUUUAUGAUCUAAUCUGGACACUCAUCAAAUUAGAAAUAUUGCAGUAGGGAUUUCCAUAUACCAACUGCUGAAGUAAUACUGUUUUCACAGAUUACACUUUUUAAUUACAUUCUGUAGAAAGAUAAAAAAAAAAAAACUUAGUACUAUCUUUCUUAUAUUCUCAUUCUAUGGAUUGAUUGGGGAUAUUCUAACACUUUCCCUAAAAUUAUUUUUAAGAUACUUUAUUUUAGAACACACUGACAUGGUAAGGCUCUUUAUAAUAAUGAAUCUUUUAUUAAAAAUAAAUUUCUUUUCUGGAAUGGACAUUAUUUUUCAAAAAAAAAGAAUGAAGAGUUUGAACUUAAGAUUGAAUGCAUUCUACACAAUCUCUACAGUCUCUUCCAAUUCUUAACACUUCUCUUUCUAAAACUGUUUUCUAAAAUAUUUCAUUACAUAAACCCCCUGGAAGGCCUUCUUUGCAUGCAUUCAUACCGGUUAUUAUGUGCAUAAAUAGCAGAAGGUUCUGCUUUUUAAAACAGAAAAAUGGAGAACUAGGUUUGUUGAAGUUUAAUAGCUGUUUUUGGUCCGCGCAAAUUUUCAAUAUCUUGGUGAGCUGCUUCUUAGAUUAAAAGAUCUAGUAUUAUUGUAGGGUAGGUCUUUUCCAAAAUGAAACAUCAUUUGUUCUACAUUCCUUAAGCUAAAACUAACUGUAUCAUUUUAGCUAGAGAGAAGCAUGCUUCACAGGUAACUUUUCCUUCGAACCAUGGAUGUAGUUCAGAUUUCGUUUAUAUUAUUCCUUGCUUUUUACAAGUGUAAAAAGCUAUGAAAACUUAGAUGGUUACUUAGCAUAUUCAUUUUAUAGUUUGUGUUAUUUAAUUGAGUUCAUUUGUACAUUCCUGUCUUUUAAAAAGUGGGAGAUAUAUAUUUUGCUCUUCACUUUGGUUUUUGGGUGGAUUUUGAUAAAACAUUUGGGGCAGAAAAAUGUUCUUGAAAUAGUUACAUAGCUUCAAGGCUAUUUCAAAAUUCAAUACAAUCAGAUAUGUCCAUAUACCUAAAACAUUAUUUUUACUUUUGUGAAAUCUAGAACAUAUGCAUCAGCCAUCUAAAGACAAUAUUUGAAAAUCCAGUAUGGAUUAAUGAGCUAAAGAGUUUUUUUUUUUUUUUUACAAAACUAUAAAAAUAUUCGAGGAAAGUAAAACAAUGUUUAUUUUAGAAUCUUUGGUUAGGUAUGUCCUUUCUAGCAAGGAUGCAAAAUAUAUCAUUAUAAAAUAUCGAAACAGUUCAUAAUAAUAUGGUGGGUGAAAACACACUUCAAACAAUGUUCUAACAUAUGUGAUAGCUGGAGAAAAUUUUCAGCUCAGCAAUAAGUCAAAUCAUAUAUAAACGGUUCAUAUGAAUCAAUAAUAAAAAGCAAACUUCCCCAAGACUUCUAGUUGAAAAAAAGUAUAUAGGUAAGCAAUUCAUGAAAGCAAAAAUACAAAUAACCAAUAAACAUUAGAAAAGUUAUUGAAUCUUCUUUUAAAUCAGAAAAAAAUAACAAAAUGCAAUGCUAUCUUCACAUAAGAUUAAAUAAUAAAAUAUAGAUAUACACAAUGCAGAGAUCAGAUAAUGUCUUACUUCAUUUUGAGAUAAGAUAAUGAACAAUCUCAUACAUUGAUUACAGGAAUGUAACUUAGAAAAGUCUUUGAAGCACAAUUUUGUCUGUCACAAUGUCAGGUGCACAUUCUUUCAACCAAUUAUUUGUCAUAGAUAGUUAUCUUAAAAUUUUUGCACAUAUGAGUGUUUCUUAUGGCGUACCUUAAAUUAGCGAACACAAAACCCUAGGAAAAUUCUAAAAGUCCUUCAAUAUGAAAAUGACUAAAUAAAGCAAAAUAUGUCUGCAUAAAAUACGUGGCACCUAUGAGAAGAUUGCUUUAUAUCCAUCUACUUGUCAUUGAAAGACAUAUUAUCAUGUAUUGUUAAAUGAAAAUAGCAAAAUGCAGAAUAACAUAUUAUUUUUAUAAUGCCCUUUAAAUAGAUCUGGAAGGACACAUACCCAACUGUUAAUAGUGGUUACCCCAUUGGAAGGUAGAGACAGAGGCAGAGAAAAAAACUUCUGUUUAUAUGACAUGAUUCUCCAAUAGUUUGAAUUUUUUUAAAACAAACCUGUUUUACUUUUGAA
This 10354-nucleotide long non-coding RNA is filed under the name Homo sapiens (human). Its description in RNAcentral is "HSALNT0351533". The record is from RNAcentral. Lineage: Eukaryota; Metazoa; Chordata; Mammalia; Primates; Hominidae.